GGCUCGGUGGCGUAGCGGUAACACAUUCUGAAUUCCUAUAUAGGUGCUUUGUUCUCAGAGGGUACAGAGUUCAAUUCUCCAUCGAGCCA
Non-coding RNA from Mycena latifolia, 89 nucleotides. The record is from the annotation of a GenBank genome assembly. NCBI's taxonomy places the organism in Eukaryota, Fungi, Basidiomycota, Agaricomycetes, Agaricales, Mycenaceae.